Molecule: long non-coding RNA, 966 nt
Filed under: Lactuca sativa (garden lettuce)
Lineage: Eukaryota; Viridiplantae; Streptophyta; Magnoliopsida; Asterales; Asteraceae
Description: long non-coding RNA (LSAT_LNC004612)
Source: RNAcentral
CGAUUUAGCAGAAUCAAGAAAACCCUGGAUGCCUCGGGUUUGCUUUAGUCCAAGGGUAACUAGCAUCUACAAAGUUUCAGGAUCAAAGAAUUUGUUAGAAGGGAAGAACAAAUCCUUGUGCAGAAAUUUUUCUAACUCGGGUACACGAGGAUCAUAUAGCCUGUAAAAGAUAGAAGAUAAAUCAUGUUUACACUAGAAUCAAACACUAAACUAUAUUAUAUAUAUAAUGGAAAUGUAUUUAGAAUAUACCUUUGUGGUUCUAGCAAAGAUCCAGUAUUAGUAAGGACAAAGGGAGUCAUAUGAAUCGUCUGAAUCAUUAUAUAGAUAUAUCAUAUAUUUCUUCGAUUUCCUUCUUCUAAUCCUAGAACUUGAACGAUAGCUCUUCUUCAUCCUCCUUGACCUGGAAUCAUAUGAAUCGUCUCAAUGAUUGAUGAGAAGAACUUGAAGAUGAAAGAUGGAAACAAAGGUGGAGGAGAAUAAGGGAAACCAUAUACAAUAAAAAUGAAGGCCAAUGACCGCCUAAGAAGUGAUCGAUGCCAAAAAAUAGGGGGAAAACGAAAAUCGCUAAAAUUGCAAGAGAGAAUUCAUAAAUUUUAGGGAAAAUGCCACCGGUUGUUUGGGGUUUUUCUUAGUAGUGGGAUUUUUUAUAAUUCUUUUAGGAUUUCAUUCUGUAAUUUUUGGGAGUGCAAUUCGAUCAUCGAUGGUAGAAGGGUUUUUACAGAGAAUGAAGAUCUAGAGGAGAGGGUGAGGAUGCGUAUCACCGGUGGUUUAAAAUAGUGAUGGGGUUUUGCUAUCGGUGUAGUGCGACAGGAAAGAAUGGUUGGAGAAUAUGGUCGGAGACACUUGGCGGUGCGAGAUCGGAGGUUGGGUGGUGGUGCGAUGCUGCUAUGAAAACGAAGGCCUAGGGCUUUUUCUUGCUAAUCGGAAGAGGGGGGGUUGGUUUUAAUUUUUGGGAUUCAAUAGGCG